GUCUCCUUGUGCGCAGUGGCCGAGGGAGUACUACUGGGGCUAUCGUUAUUCUGAUGCACUGGGCGUAACGCGCACGUAUUCGGCAACGUAAGUCUGGGUUGAAAUCCCGGGGCUCAACCUCUGAACUGCACUUGAUGCUGGGUUUCUUGAGUGCGGGUGAGGUGUGUGGAGCUGCCAGUGUAGAGCUGAAAUUCGUAGAUAUUCGCAAGAACACCAGUGUCGAAGGCGGCCAACUGGCCCGAUACUGACGCUGAGGUGCGAAAGCGUGGGGAGCAAACAGGAUUAGAUACCCCGGUAGUC
RNAcentral lists this ribosomal RNA (300 nucleotides) under uncultured Lactobacillus sp. RNAcentral's name for it is "bacterial SSU rRNA". It matches the Rfam family "Bacterial small subunit ribosomal RNA", at positions 495 to 795 of the family's 1533-position model. The record is from RNAcentral. Lineage: Bacteria; Bacillati; Bacillota; Bacilli; Lactobacillales; Lactobacillaceae.